Molecule: transfer RNA, 90 nt
Filed under: Brachyspira pilosicoli B2904
Lineage: Bacteria; Pseudomonadati; Spirochaetota; Spirochaetia; Brachyspirales; Brachyspiraceae
Also listed under: 1 other name
Description: tRNA-Ser
Rfam family: tRNA
About the family: Transfer RNA (tRNA) molecules are approximately 80 nucleotides in length. Their secondary structure includes four short double-helical elements and three loops (D, anti-codon, and T loops).
Source: RNAcentral
UGGAGAGAUGUCCGAGCGGUUGAAGGAGCACGAUUGGAAGUCGUGUGUAUGUAAAAGUACCGUGGGUUCGAAUCCCACUCUCUCCGUAGU